UAAUAGUGUAUAUUAAAGUUGUUGCAGUUAAAAAGCUCGUAGUUGAAUGUUGGUGUCGAACGAGCGGUCAGCUUCGGCUGUACUGCUCUCUCGACGCCUUCCUUCUGUGGACUACGUCGCACUUUACUGUGUGGCGCUAGGACGCAGAUCGUUUACUGUGAAAAAAUUAGAGUGUUCAAAGCAGGCCGUACGCUUGAAUACAUUAGCAUGGAAUAAUGGAAUAGGACGUCGGGCCUAUUUUGUUGGUUCUAGGACCGUCGUAAUGAUUAAUAGGGACAGUUGGGGCCGUUUAUAUUCCGUAGUCAGAGGUGAAAUUCUUGGAUUUACGGAAGAUAAACUACUGCGAAAGCAUUCGGCAAGGAUGUUUUCGUUAA
RNAcentral lists this ribosomal RNA (374 nucleotides) under uncultured eukaryote. RNAcentral describes it as "partial 18S ribosomal RNA". It matches the Rfam family "Eukaryotic small subunit ribosomal RNA", at positions 592 to 976 of the family's 1831-position model. The record is from RNAcentral.